AACGACGCUGGCGGCAGGCCUAAAACAUGCAAGUCGAACGAACCGUUCGGGUUAGUGGCGCACGGGUGAGUAACGCGUGGGAAUGUGCCUCUGGGUGCGGAACAACGUCGGGAAACUGACGCUAAUACCGCAUAAUGUCUACGGACCAAAGAUUUAUCGCCCAGAGAUCAGCCCGCGUCUGAUUAGCUAGUUGGUGAGGUAACGGCUCACCAAGGCUACGAUCAGUAGCUGGUCUGAGAGGAUGAUCAGCCACACUGGAACUGAGACACGGUCCAGACUCCUACGGGAGGCAGCAGUUAGGAAUAUUGGACAAUGGGGGAAACCCUGAUCCAGCCAUGCCGCGUGUGUGAAGAAGGCCUUAGGGUUGUAAAGCACUUUCGGCUGUGAAGAUAAUGACAGUAGCAGAAGAAGAAGCUCCGGCUAAAUUCGUG
Molecule: ribosomal RNA, 431 nt
Filed under: uncultured bacterium
Lineage: Bacteria
Description: bacterial SSU rRNA
Rfam family: Bacterial small subunit ribosomal RNA
Source: RNAcentral